Molecule: non-coding RNA, 264 nt
Filed under: Cyclobacterium lianum
Lineage: Bacteria; Pseudomonadati; Bacteroidota; Cytophagia; Cytophagales; Cyclobacteriaceae
Description: Bacterial small subunit ribosomal RNA
Rfam family: Bacterial small subunit ribosomal RNA
Source: Rfam by way of RNAcentral
ACAAUGGAGAGUUUGAUCCUGGCUCAGGAUGAACGCUAGCGGCAGGCCUAAUACAUGCAAGUCGUACGGGAUUCAAUCUUUCGGGAUUGAUGAGAGUGGCGCACGGGUGCGUAACGCGUAUGCAACCUACCUUUCACAGGGGGAUAGCUCCCGGAAACGGGAAUUAAUACCCCAUGGUAUAUAUUCACUGCAUGGUGGAUAUAUUAAAGAUUCGUCGGUGAAAGACGGGCAUGCGUAGGAUUAGCUAGUUGGUGGGGUAACGGC